Molecule: ribosomal RNA, 466 nt
Filed under: uncultured bacterium
Lineage: Bacteria
Description: partial 16S ribosomal RNA
Rfam family: Bacterial small subunit ribosomal RNA
Source: RNAcentral
GACGAACGCUGGCGGCGUGCUCAACACAUGCCAGUCGAACGGAAAGGCCUUGCUUGCAGGGUACUCGCGUGGCGAACGGGUGAGUAACACGUUGGUGAUCUGCCCUGCACUUCGGGCUAAGCUCGGGAAACUGGGUCCAAUACUGGAUAGGAACCAUCCUUAGUGUGGCUGUUGGCACGUCUUUUCGGUGUAGGAUGAGCUCGCGGCCUAUCAGCUUGUUGGUGGGGUAAUGGCCUACCAAGGCGGCGACGGGUAGCCGGCCUGAGAGGGUGUACGGCCACAUUGGAACUGAGAUACGGCCCAGACGCCUACCGGAGGCAGCAGUGGAGAAUAGUGCACAAUGAGCGCAAGCCUGAUGCAGCGACGCCGCGUGGGGGUUGAAGGGCUUCGGGUUGUAAACUCCUUGCGCUUGUGACGAAGCUUUGCUUUGGCGGUACCUAGAUAAGAAGCACCGGCUAACUACGUG